CUCUAGCGAGACUGCCGUUGUCAAAACGGAGGAAGGUGGGGACGACGUCAAGUCAUCAUGGCCCUUAUGGCCUGGGCUACAAACGUGCUACAAUGGUCCGUACAAAGGGUUCCGAAGCCGCGAGGUGUAGGCAAUCCCAUCAAAGCGGGCCCCAGUUCGGAUUGCAGGCUGAAAUUCGCCUGCAUGAAGCCGGAAUUGCUAGUAAUCGCGUAUCAGCCAUGUCGCGGUGAAUAUGUUCCUGAUCCUU
RNAcentral lists this ribosomal RNA (247 nucleotides) under uncultured Planctomycetales bacterium. RNAcentral describes it as "partial 16S ribosomal RNA". It matches the Rfam family "Bacterial small subunit ribosomal RNA", at positions 1138 to 1382 of the family's 1533-position model. Lineage: Bacteria; Pseudomonadati; Planctomycetota; Planctomycetia; Planctomycetales. The record is from RNAcentral.